RNAcentral lists this ribosomal RNA (1442 nucleotides) under metagenome. RNAcentral describes it as "bacterial SSU rRNA". It matches the Rfam family "Bacterial small subunit ribosomal RNA". The record is from RNAcentral.
AGAGUUUGAUCCUGGCUCAGGAUGAACGCUGGCGGCGUGCUUAACACAUGCAAGUCGAACGAACCUUCGGGUUAGUGGCGGACGGGUGAGUAACGCGUGUGAAUCUGCCCUCAGGAGGGGGAUAACGGCUGGAAACGGCCGCUAAUACCCCAUAUGCCGAGAGGUGAAAUGAAUUUCGCCUGAGGGAGCUCGCGUCUGAUUAGCUAGUUGGUGUGGUAAAGGCUCACCAAGGCAUCGAUCAGUAGCUGGUCUGAGAGGAUGAUCAGCCACACUGGGACUGAGACACGGCCCAGACUCCUACGGGAGGCAGCAGUGGGGAAUUUUCCGCAAUGGGCGCAAGCCUGACGGAGCAACGCCGCGUGAGGGAUGAAGGCCUCUGGGCUGUAAACCUCUUUUAUCAAGGAAGAAGAUCUGACGGUACUUGAUGAAUAAGCCACGGCUAAUUCCGUGCCAGCAGCCGCGGUAAUACGGGAGUGGCAAGCGUUAUCCGGAAUUAUUGGGCGUAAAGCGUCCGCAGGCGAUCUUGAAAGUCUGUUGUUAAAGCGUGGAGCUCAACUCCAUUUCAGCAAUGGAAACUAGAAGACUAGAGUGUGGUAGGGGCAGAGGGAAUUCCCGGUGUAGCGGUGAAAUGCGUAGAUAUCGGGAAGAACACCAGUGGCGAAGGCGCUCUGCUGGGCCAUAACUGACGCUCAUGGACGAAAGCCAGGGGAGCGAAAGGGAUUAGAUACCCCUGUAGUCCUGGCCGUAAACGAUGAACACUAGGUGUCGGGGGAAUCGACCCCCUCGGUGUCGUAGCCAACGCGUUAAGUGUUCCGCCUGGGGAGUACGCACGCAAGUGUGAAACUCAAAGGAAUUGACGGGGGCCCGCACAAGCGGUGGAGUAUGUGGUUUAAUUCGAUGCAACGCGAAGAACCUUACCAGGGUUUGACAUCCUGCGAAUCCCUUGGAAACUUGGGAGUGCCUUCGGGAGCGCAGUGACAGGUGGUGCAUGGCUGUCGUCAGCUCGUGUCGUGAGAUGUUGGGUUAAGUCCCGCAACGAGCGCAACCCACGUCUUUAGUUGCCAGCAUUAAGUUGGGCACUCUAGAGAGACUGCCGGUGAUAAACCGGAGGAAGGUGUGGAUGACGUCAAGUCAUCAUGCCCCUUACAUCCUGGGCUACACACGUACUACAAUGCUACGGACAAAGGGCAGCAAACUCGCGAGAGCUAGCAAAUCCCAUAAACCGUGGCUCAGUUCAGAUCGUAGGCUGCAACUCGCCUACGUGAAGGAGGAAUCGCUAGUAAUCGCAGGUCAGCAUACUGCGGUGAAUACGUUCCCGGGCCUUGUACACACCGCCCGUCACACCAUGGAAGUUGGCCACGCCCGGAGUCGUUACUCCAACCCGCAAGGGAGGAGGAUGCCGAAGGUGGGGCUGAUGACUGGGGUGAAGUCGUAACAAGGUA